RNAcentral lists this long non-coding RNA (2887 nucleotides) under Coffea arabica (coffee). Its description in RNAcentral is "long non-coding RNA (CARA_LNC001584)". The record is from RNAcentral. Lineage: Eukaryota; Viridiplantae; Streptophyta; Magnoliopsida; Gentianales; Rubiaceae.
UUUUUUUUUGAAAAAUUCCCCAAUCUCCCUCCCCAAUGUGGGGUACGAUUCACAAAUGCAUUUGAAAGGAACCACCUAUUUGGCUCAAAUGAGGAUGCAAGGGAUAAAUAGUGUUUGGAUUGUAGAAGCGAUAGCCAAAGUAUCAUUCUUACACUUUAUGACAACCAGAGUAACGAAAUGCUCAUUGACAACCCAUUCUUCUUUUUGAUAUUUUGAAAAUUCUCCCAUGAAGGGUAGUGAUCAUCAAGGUGUUUAUUUGGAACGAAAAUUUUCUUUUAAAGGCUCAAACGGGAGAGCAAAUGAUAAAAUCUGUAUAGGUAGAGAAAAGAAUGCUCGAAGUAUCAUUCCAAAUUUUCAAAACAAACAAGAAUAAUGCACAUUUUUGCUUUCACUUAGAUGUGAAUUGAAUCCGGUUAAACCAAUGGGGAUUUUUCCAAGCAAAGAAUGUCCCAAUUUGCAAUUUAUCAAUCAAUGUGACUGAUUUUAUUUUGAGGUUAAAUGAAGGAAAAAAGGAAUCUCAUAGGGCCUUUUGAGUGACAUCUUUUAAUUCUGAACACUCUUAUUAUGAAUUUUCAGGCCAGAGGUUGAAAAAAAUCCCAAUUUAGUCUUAUUUCUUAAAAUUCAUCAUGAAAUCUCCAAUGAAUAAGAAUAAAGAAUGAAAUGUACAUAAAUAUACACAAAACAAUGAUUGUCCAAAAAUUUUAUUGCUGAAAAAGUUUGAAACAAAAUUUCUCAUUCAAUUUACGAUACAAAUGAGAAGAGAGAAACUUGUAAAGAGCUCCAUAUAUACACUUUUUGUCUCCUUUUCUUUUUGGAACAAAAUGUAUUAACAAAUCAAAUAUACAAAAUUUUCCUUUGGAAAACAAUUACAACAUCUCUCAGAGGCUUUAGCGUAGAGCUUCCAGAUAGAUCAUUUAUGUUUUCAUUAUAGGACCUGCCCAAGAAUCAAAUAAUACUUUCUGAACUUUAUCGGAUCAAAAAUUGUUAUCCAAUAUAGGGAAAUAUUUUCACCUUAUUGAAACAUUUUUAUGAAUGCAGGGGAGGGGGAAAAAAUAAAAAGAAAAAUACCCAGAGUCAGUAAGUAAGAAUAAAAAAUCGGUAUGCAUGUCCUAUGGGGGACCCUUUUUAUGCCAAGGGUAGGCCUAGCAUGAAAAUGCAAUCCGCUAGAAUAGGCACUAUACAAUACCUGAUGGAUCCGAUCAACUCAUGGAGUGAAAAAUAAUUUGAAAAUUUUGGCCCAUUGGAAUAAGAAGAGACGUUUGUCAAAAUGAGGACCUCGUCCGAAGGGAUUGAUUACCUUUGAUUUGCAAAACGCAUGGGUUUGACCUUGACGAACUUCCUAUUCAAAGAGAUUGGAAUUCGUUGAUAAAAUUUCUCAGUGAAUUACGGGUCAAAACCCCAAUUGAUCAAGUGAUUGCAACAGACGGUUUUCUUCAAAAUUGACUAGAUUUCCCAAUUUGGAAUUUGACAAUGAAACCCCAAUAGGGCAAAUGGAUUGAAUGAAGUUGACAAUUUAUUUAAAAUCGACCAAAUUACCCUAAAAAGGGAAACAGGUCAAAUGAAUUGAAUGAAAUUUAUCCAAAAUUAAUCAGAUCUCCCUAAAAAGGGUAAAUUGAUCAAACAGAUUGAACGAAACUUGAUUUAUUCAAAAUCGGCUCGGUUGCCCUAAAAAUGGGUAAAUUGGGCAAAAGACCCUAAAAAGGGUAAUUUGGUCAAUUGAAUUGACAAUUUAUUCAAAAGCGACCGAAUGACCCUAAAAAGGGUAAAUUGGUCAAAAGAUUUGAUGAUUUAUUCAAAAUCGACCGAAUGACCCUAAAAAGGGUAAAUUGGUCAAAUGAAUUGAUGAUUUAUUCAAAAAUCGACCGGAUGACCCUAAAAAGGGUAAAUUGGUCAAAGGAAUGGUUUAUUUAAAAUCGAUCAUGAAUUGACAAAAUGGAUUGAUCGAAUCGGCCGGCCAUUGGUGGUUUCAGAAAAUCAGUCUAUGAGCCUUCUAAAAAUCAAAUUUUGGCCUCAAUUUAUUUAUCAUCUCAAUAGGAGGAAUCAUUUGUGAAUUUCUUCGAAUUAAUGUCCUUUUACGCAAGGGAAUUUUACCAAGUUUGAUAAAUUGGCCAAAAAGUGAUUAUUAGAUGCUCAUAUUCCAAAGAUCACUCUAUGAAAAUGAUCGGAUCCUACCUUACCUUGUGCACUACCCCCUCUGGAUGGUACAAAAUGUAAACGUGCAAGUCUCACUGGAUUAAGUAUCCGAGACACAAGGUGGCUUAUUCCUGACACGGGAUCCCCUAAAUGGCAUUCCCUUUCUAGGGUUUAUGCAUGAUGUCAUUUAUUAAAGCGAUGUAAAUAUGUGACAAAUAUGACCUAAGGGACAUAAAUAAUGCAUCGGGGGAAAAAAGGUCUAAAAUGAAAUGUAUUUAUUAAGUAUAAUGACUGAAAUUUAAACAUGUGAGUUAUCUAGUGGAUAGGUCACUAAAAGAGUGCCAAAAGGGCCUCUUAUUGCUAGGGCAUAUGAAUGCAAACCAAGGAAACAAUGAAAUGGUUAGUGCAGUUGAUAGUACACAUAACACAUUGGGAGCAAUUAAGAAAAGAAAUAGGAUAAAAGCCAAUAAAAAGGGGUGGAACCCCUUCCCUCGUGCCUAAUUGUGCUUAAAAAGGGUGAGGCUGACUCUACCCUAGGCAAAUGCUAACAUGGAUGCAUGAGGUUUGGUUCAUUAAUGCCUAGACUCGAUAAAGCUUCGGCUCCCAAGCCUUCAGACCUAAAGGCGAAGGGUCAUCACUCCCAGGGCCUUUGAUCGGUGGCUCGAGUGAUCCCUUAGGUAGCGCUAUGGGCGCAGAGCACACCAGCCGCCUACCCAAGGCAAUCGAUCCUAAUCCUACAAGGCGGUGUGGGAAA